This 838-nucleotide long non-coding RNA is filed under the name Homo sapiens (human). RNAcentral's name for it is "non-protein coding lnc-KHDC1L-1:1". The record is from RNAcentral. Lineage: Eukaryota; Metazoa; Chordata; Mammalia; Primates; Hominidae.
CUGACAUCAAAUGCCAAAUUUUACUAAAUGUAUAGUUGUGGACCCUGCAAAGCUCCAGGCCAAGGGCAACUUCUGGGCGGUCGACAUAAGCCUGAUCCCAGCAGAGUCGCUAUGGUGGCAGAACACAGCCCUGUGCAGGUGCUGGCAGAACUGGGGUGCAUGUGGAGCCUUCACCAAGGACCUGCGGCCCUACUUGCUGCGAGAUGCUCCCAGUCCCCUGCUGCCACCCCGUGAGGGCUUCAGCAUCAAGUCCCUGCUAGGGGACUCUGGGGAGGGGGCACCCUGGUCGGGACUGGUGCCACAGAGCAGCCCAGCUCCUUCAGGCAUGGGGAGCAGUGGGGAGGAGGUGGUGCCCACCCCACCCCUGCCCUCCUCUGAGAGGCCUCUGUGGCCUCUCUGCCCUCUUCCCAGCCCCAUAAGAAUGGAGGGGGAGGCUUCCCAGCAGGGAGCCACUGGGCCCUCGACCCUCUCCACAGAGCCUAGGGCCUGGUCUCUCCACUCUACUGCAGGACACCUCAGUUCUUGGGUGGCUGUCCAGUGGGGGACACAGGGCCUCCCCCUGGGGGCAGCUGCCCACCUCCUACUUGCCUAUCUACACUCCCAAUGUGGUAAUGCCCUUGGCACCACCACCCACCUACUGUCCCCAGUGUCUACCGUCAACUGGCCCUGCCUACUAGGGAGUGGCCUCUGAAACCAGAGGGCCCCCAGGCUGCUCUGGGAUCUAGACACCCUCUUCCAGGAGGUGCCACCCAAUAAAAGCAUCUAUGACAUUUGGGUCAGCCAUGCUUGGGACCUGGUGGCUCCUGCUCCAGGCUGGUUGCUCUCUUGGUGCAGCCUG